CGGAAGCCAGUCCCUUGAAAAUUCUGCGGUGAUGACUGAGCCUUGCACCGGCCCUCCCAAUCCCAGUUUUAACUCCAGCUCUGAGAUCCCCUCAUUCUCCAGGAGAGGAAGCCGUUCUUGUCUUCCAACCCCAAGGUCUAGUUGAGUUUCUAGAAAGGCAGGAUUUCUGGCUCCCCACACGAAGCCCACCAACUCGAAGCCCACAAGCUCUCCUGGAGUUCGAGGAUUCAGGCGAACUGGAGAGCCAGUUUUCUACGAGGCGACCAGGGAAGGGAGUGUUUAGCCCCACGACCUAGUGGGGAGCUGUCUGAUCACUCUGCACUCUGAUUUCCCUCUCUUUCUUCCCCAGCACAAGAGACACACCAGGUAGAGGAAGCCCAUUCUUAGAGCAGGGGCCUCACUCACCCAGUGCAGAUAGAGGGUCUAAUAAUUAGGGGAAAGAAUCUAGGGUUAGAUGGUCUUCCCCAGGUUUGAGACUUCCCACCAGUAUUUUAGGUGAUUCAGUGCGGAGGAGGACUGUCGGCUAAAGGAUGCUCUAAGCCAGCUCUGGGUGAUCUGCUAUGAGCGGCUGUCAUCCUAUAUGCUGGGAAGGAGCAGAUCCUGUAGCUGCUGGUGCUGGAGCAGUUCCUGACCGUCCUACCUGAGAAGGUCAACACCAGGUUGUGAGAGCAGUACCUGGAGAGUGGAGCUGAAGCUGUAGUUGUUCUGAGGACAUUGUGAAAAAAACUUAUAGCACCGGGAGAGUGGUGGGAAGGAAAUCAGGUGUUUUAAGUUAAGAUUCAGAAGCACAGAUGCAUUGCUUUUUGGUACCCAACUUGAAGACGGCAACCGUUUUGCUAUCCCAAGGCACAUCCAUUGAGGUUUUCAACAAGCAGUGUGCUUGCCUGUUUCAGGGAAUUAUCUGUUCCUCGUCAAUGGAUUUUUGAGCUUGUGUUUCUGAGGUGCUUGGUUUUUUAUUCUUCCCUCUAUUCCUUUUCUUAUGAAAGAAAUUUUUAAUUUUUCCUGUGUCCCAAAAUCAGAUACCACCUUUCCUGUAAUAUGCUCUGUAAGUGGUCACUGAAUGUAUGAUUAAAUGAUUUGGAAAGGGG
Long non-coding RNA from Orcinus orca (killer whale), 1088 nucleotides. RefSeq lists it as uncharacterized. The transcript has 2 exons. NCBI's taxonomy places the organism in Eukaryota, Metazoa, Chordata, Mammalia, Artiodactyla, Delphinidae. The record is from RefSeq and is a predicted model, not a curated record.